Long non-coding RNA from Acipenser ruthenus (sterlet), 329 nucleotides. RefSeq lists it as uncharacterized. The record is from RefSeq and is a predicted model, not a curated record. The transcript has 3 exons. NCBI's taxonomy places the organism in Eukaryota, Metazoa, Chordata, Actinopteri, Acipenseriformes, Acipenseridae.
UCAACACCACUUUUGUGUAGGGAGAAGAAAAGCACAUUUUGAAAAAUUCUCCAAAUUGCUUUUCAGGGCUUUUAUGGUUGACAAAGACACCAAAUUAAUGAAUGCUCUGCAUGGUGUCUUCCCUCAGUCCAGUAUUUUGCUAUGCUGGUUCCAUGUGCUACAGGCAGUUCACCGAUGGAUAACAAAGAGAUUCUGAAAUAAGUGGAGCUGAACAGAAAGAUGAAAGGGAUAAAGUGAUGGCUUUUGAUGUUCUGACUGAAGCAUUGCAGUAUAUUGCAAAAAUCUGGACGAGCGCUACGAAGGAGAUGGAAGAAAAAAGAAAAGUUGAG